AGUGAACGCUGGCGGUAGGCCUAACACAUGCAAGUCGAACGGCAGCACAGUAAGAGCUUGCUCUUACGGGUGGCGAGUGGCGGACGGGUGAGGAAUACAUCGGAAUCUACUUUUUCGUGGGGGAUAACGUAGGGAAACUUACGCUAAUACCGCAUACGACCUACGGGUGAAAGCAGGGGAUCUUCGGACCUUGCGCGAUUGAAUGAGCCGAUGUCGGAUUUGCUAGUUGGCGGGGGAAAGGCCCACCAAGGCGACGAUCCGUAGCUGGUCUGAGAGGAUGAUCAGCCACACUGGAGCUGAGACGCGGUCCAGACUCCUACGGGAGGCAGCAGUGGGGAAUAUUGGACAAUGGGCGCAAGCCUGAUCCAGCCAUACCGCGUGGGUGAAGAAGGCCUUCGGGUUGUAAAGCCCUUUUGUUGGGAAAGAAAAGCAGCAGGUUAAUACCCCGCUGUUCUGACGGUACCCAAAGAAUAAGCACCGGCUAACUUCGUG
RNAcentral lists this ribosomal RNA (492 nucleotides) under uncultured bacterium. Its description in RNAcentral is "partial 16S ribosomal RNA". It matches the Rfam family "Bacterial small subunit ribosomal RNA", at positions 29 to 507 of the family's 1533-position model. The record is from RNAcentral.